UAGGGAAUCUUCGGCAAUGGGGGCAACCCUGACCGAGCAACGCCGCGUGAGUGAAGAAGGUUUUCGGAUCGUAAAGCUCUGUUGUAAGAGAAGAACGUGUGUGAGAGUGGAAAGUUCACACAGUGACGGUAGCUUACCAGAAAGGGACGGCUAACUACGUGCCAG
Molecule: ribosomal RNA, 165 nt
Filed under: uncultured bacterium
Lineage: Bacteria
Description: partial 16S rRNA
Rfam family: Bacterial small subunit ribosomal RNA
Source: RNAcentral